UACGGAGGAUCCGAGCGUUAUCCGGAUUUAUUGGGUUUAAAGGGUGCGCAGGCGGGGGAUUAAGUCGGCGGUGAAAUUUUGCAGCUCAACUGUAAAAGUGCCUUCGAAACUGGUUUCCUUGAGUGUAGAUGAAGUAGGCGGAAUUUGUGGUGUAGCGGUGAAAUGCACAGAUAUCACGAGGAACUCCGAUUGCGCAGGCAGCUUACUAAACUACUACUGACGCUCAGGCACGAAGGCGUGGGGAUCAAACAGGAUUAGAUACCCCGGUAGUCCCUGA
RNAcentral lists this ribosomal RNA (277 nucleotides) under uncultured prokaryote. RNAcentral describes it as "partial 16S ribosomal RNA". It matches the Rfam family "Bacterial small subunit ribosomal RNA", at positions 524 to 800 of the family's 1533-position model. The record is from RNAcentral.